GGGUUGUGAGGUUAAGCGACUAAGCGUACACGGUGGAUGCCCUGGCAGUCAGAGGCGAUGAAGGGCGUGCUAAUCUGCGAUAAGCGCCGGUAAGGUGAUAUGAACCGUUAUAACCGGCGAUACCCGAAUGGGGAAACCCAGUGUGAUUCGUCACACUAUCAUUAACUGAAUCCAUAGGUUAAUGAGGCGAACCGGGGGAACUGAAACAUCUAAGUACCCCGAGGAAAAGAAAUCAACCGAGAUUCCCCCAGUAGCGGCGAGCGAACGGGGAGGAGCCCAGAGCCUGAAUCAGCAUGUGUGUUAGUGGAAGCGUCUGGAAAGGCGCGCGAUACAGGGUGACAGCCCCGUACACAAAAGCGCAUGUGCUGUGAGCUCGAUGAGUAGGGCGGGACACGUGAUAUCCUGUCUGAAUAUGGGGGGACCAUCCUCCAAGGCUAAAUACUCCUGACUGACCGAUAGUGAACCAGUACCGUGAGGGAAAGGCGAAAAGAACCCCGGCGAGGGGAGUGAAAAAGAACCUGAAACCGUGUACGUACAAGCAGUGGGAGCACCCUUCGGGGUGUGACUGCGUACCUUUUGUAUAAUGGGUCAGCGACUUAUAUUCUGUAGCAAGGUUAACCGAAUAGGGGAGCCGGAGGGAAACCGAGUCUUAACCGGGCGUUAAGUUGCAGGGUAUAGACCCGAAACCCGGUGAUCUAGCCAUGGGCAGGUUGAAGGUUGGGUAACACUAACUGGAGGACCGAACCGACUAAUGUUGAAAAAUUAGCGGAUGACCUGUGGCUGGGGGUGAAAGGCCAAUCAAACCGGGAGAUAGCUGGUUCUCCCCGAAAGCUAUUUAGGUAGCGCCUCGUGAAUUCAUCUCCGGGGGUAGAGCACUGUUUCGGCUAGGGGGCCAUCCCGGCUUACCAACCCGAUGCAAACUGCGAAUACCGGAGAAUGUUAUCACGGGAGACACACGGCGGGUGCUAACGUCCGUCGUGAAGAGGGAAACAACCCAGACCGCCAGCUAAGGUCCCAAAGUCAUGGUUAAGUGGGAAACGAUGUGGGAAGGCCCAGACAGCCAGGAUGUUGGCUUAGAAGCAGCCAUCAUUUAAAG
This 1096-nucleotide ribosomal RNA is filed under the name Salmonella enterica subsp. enterica. Its description in RNAcentral is "bacterial LSU rRNA". It matches the Rfam family "Bacterial large subunit ribosomal RNA", at positions 1 to 1128 of the family's 2925-position model. Lineage: Bacteria; Pseudomonadati; Pseudomonadota; Gammaproteobacteria; Enterobacterales; Enterobacteriaceae. The record is from RNAcentral.